This 307-nucleotide unclassified non-coding RNA is filed under the name Hevea brasiliensis (rubber tree). Lineage: Eukaryota; Viridiplantae; Streptophyta; Magnoliopsida; Malpighiales; Euphorbiaceae. The record is from RNAcentral.
GCUCUCUAACCUGUGUUAUCAAUAUCAACAAGCUUCCCCUCAAAAAAAAAAAAAAUCAAUCUACAAGUGAAGUAAACAGAGGCCUUAUGAUACUUGUAUAAUGUACAGUCACUGUUCAAUUUGGGUUCUACACAAAUAACCCAUGUUUACUUCCAUGCUCUACACAAAACUAAGGAGAACAGACAGCAUAACUCGCUUAAACAGACGUUUCUUCUUCUUCUUUUUGUUCUGAAAAUUGCUAGCAGUUCUGUAAACAUUAGAGUAACACAAUUGUGCAGCUUUGGCAUGUGAACAAUUCCAUGCUUCA